CUCCCACCCAGUGCUAUCACUACUCUCGUUGCUUUGGCGGGCCGCUGGGCCCUGCCCGGCCGCCGGCCCCGGCUGGCGCGUGCCCGCCAGAGACCUUCACAGACUCUGAAUGUUAGUGUCGUCCGAGUAACUAUACAAUCGUUAAAACUUUCAACAACGGAUCUCUUGGUUCUGGCAUCGAUGAAGAACGCAGCGAAAUGCGAUAAGUAAUGCGAAUUGCAGAAUUCAGUGAGUCAUCGAAUCUUUGAACGCACAUUGCGCCCUGUGGUAUUCCGCAGGGCAUGCCUGUUCGAGCGUCAUUUCAACCCUCAAGCCCCGCUUGGUGUUGGGCCCCGCCCGCUGUGGCCGGCCCUAAAGACAGUGGCGGCGCCGCCUGGCCCUCAGCGUAGUACAUCUCUCGCUCCAGGGUCCGGUGGCCGCCUGCCAGAACCCCCCAACUC
RNAcentral lists this ribosomal RNA (440 nucleotides) under Oidiodendron sp. YT-2016-2. RNAcentral describes it as "eukaryotic LSU rRNA". The stretch from base 146 to 299 matches the Rfam family "5.8S ribosomal RNA". The record is from RNAcentral. Lineage: Eukaryota; Fungi; Ascomycota; Leotiomycetes; Myxotrichaceae.